AAUGACGUCACAACUGAGCCGAAUGACAUUCAAGGUGUAAAUGAAGUUUUGAAUUCAGAAAUUACCGCAGAAGAGAUUAGCAAGUGUAUACGAGAAUUGAAAAACGGAAAGGCCAGUGGCGAUGAUUUAAUAAUCAAUGAAUUUAUUAAAAGCACAUCACACAUUUUUAUACCCGUUUAUGUGAAACUUUUUAAUAUGAUUUUUGAUUCUGGUACUUUGCCUGAAAUAUGGCUUAUGGGAAAUAUUAUACCUUUUUAUAAAAACAAG
This 267-nucleotide long non-coding RNA is filed under the name Mytilus galloprovincialis (Mediterranean mussel). The record is from RNAcentral. Lineage: Eukaryota; Metazoa; Mollusca; Bivalvia; Mytilida; Mytilidae.